Gavialis gangeticus (Gharial) is the source of this 82-nucleotide long non-coding RNA. RefSeq lists it as uncharacterized. NCBI's taxonomy places the organism in Eukaryota, Metazoa, Chordata, Crocodylia, Gavialidae. The transcript has 3 exons. The record is from RefSeq and is a predicted model, not a curated record.
UUCAUCUUGUCUGGGGCCGGGGCCAGCCCACAAUUUUUGGGGGUCCCCUGCAAGAUAUAGUUCUGGGGCCCCCUGAUCCAUC